UGGGGGAUAUUGCGCAAUGGGGGAAACCCUGACGCAGCAACGCCGCGUGAAGGAUGAAGGUCUUCGGAUUGUAAACUUCUGUUCUUGGUGAAGAAUUUCUGACGGUAACUAAGCAGCAAGCUCCGGCUAACUACGUGCCAGCAGCCGCGGUAAUACGUAGGGAGCUAGCGUUGUCCGGAUUUACUGGGUGUAAAGGGUGCGUAGGCGGCUCGACAAGUCAGGCGUGAAAUGUAUAGGCUUAACCUAUAAUCUGCGUUUGAAACUGUUGGGCUUGAGUGGAGUAGAGGCAGAUGGAAUUUCCAGUGUAGCGGUGAAAUGCGUAGAUAUUGGAAGGAACACCGGUGGCGAAGGCGAUCUGCUGGGCUCUUACUGACGCUGAGGCACGAAAGCGUGGGUAGCAAACAGG
RNAcentral lists this ribosomal RNA (406 nucleotides) under uncultured bacterium. RNAcentral describes it as "bacterial SSU rRNA". It matches the Rfam family "Bacterial small subunit ribosomal RNA", at positions 355 to 776 of the family's 1533-position model. The record is from RNAcentral.